This 71-nucleotide transfer RNA is filed under the name Stegodyphus mimosarum. It matches the Rfam family "tRNA". Rfam says of the family: Transfer RNA (tRNA) molecules are approximately 80 nucleotides in length. Their secondary structure includes four short double-helical elements and three loops (D, anti-codon, and T loops). Lineage: Eukaryota; Metazoa; Arthropoda; Arachnida; Araneae; Eresidae. The record is from Rfam by way of RNAcentral.
GUCUUCGUGGUGUAACGGUAGCACACUCGGCGCGUAUUCAAGAGGCCCAGGUUCGAGUCCAGGCGAGGGCA